UACGUAGGGUGCAAGCGUUGUCCGGAAUUAUUGGGCGUAAAGAGCUCGUAGGCGGUUUGUCGCGUCGAAUGUGAAAACCCGGGGCUCAACCCCGGGCCUGCAUUCGAUACGGGCAGACUAGAGUGAGUAGGGGAGAUGGAAUUCCGUGUGAGCGGUGAAUGCGCAGAUAUCGGGAGGAACACCGGUGGCGAAGGCGGUUCUCUGGGCCUUACCUGACGCUGAGGAGCGAAAGCGUGGGGAGCGAACAGG
RNAcentral lists this ribosomal RNA (249 nucleotides) under uncultured bacterium. RNAcentral's name for it is "partial 16S ribosomal RNA". It matches the Rfam family "Bacterial small subunit ribosomal RNA", at positions 524 to 776 of the family's 1533-position model. The record is from RNAcentral.